Molecule: ribosomal RNA, 468 nt
Filed under: uncultured bacterium
Lineage: Bacteria
Description: partial 16S ribosomal RNA
Rfam family: Bacterial small subunit ribosomal RNA
Source: RNAcentral
GACGAACGCUGGCGGCGUGCUUAACACAUGCAAGUCGAACGGAAAGGCCCUGCUUUUGUGGGGUGCUCGAGUGGCGAACGGGUGAGUAACACGUGAGUAACCUGCCCUUGACUUUGGGAUAACUUCAGGAAACUGGGGCUAAUACCGGAUAGGAGCUCCUGCUGCAUGGUGGGGGUUGGAAAGUUUCGGCGGUUGGGGAUGGACUCGCGGCUUAUCAGCUUGUUGGUGGGGUAGUGGCUUACCAAGGCUUUGACGGGUAGCCGGCCUGAGAGGGUGACCGGCCACAUGGGGACUGGGAUACGGCCCAGACUCCUACGGGGGGCAGCAGUGGGGAAUAUUGCACAAUGGGCGGAAGCCUGAUGCAGCAACGCCGCGUGCGGGAUGACGGCCUUCGGGUUGUAAACCGCUUUCGCCUGUGACGAAGCGUGAGUGACGGUAAUGGGUAAAGAAGCACCGGCUAACUACGUG